RNAcentral lists this ribosomal RNA (911 nucleotides) under Preussia aemulans. RNAcentral's name for it is "LSU rRNA". It matches the Rfam family "Eukaryotic large subunit ribosomal RNA", at positions 38 to 964 of the family's 3401-position model. Lineage: Eukaryota; Fungi; Ascomycota; Dothideomycetes; Pleosporales; Sporormiaceae. The record is from RNAcentral.
GCAUAUCAAUAAGCGGAGGAAAAGAAACCAACAGGGAUUGCCCUAGUAACGGCGAGUGAAGCGGCAACAGCUCAAAUUUGAAAUCUGGCUCUUUUAGGGUCCGAGUUGUAAUUUGCAGAGGGUGCUUUGGCAAAGGUUGUGGUCUAAGUUCCUUGGAACAGGACGUCACAGAGGGUGAGAAUCCCGUACGUGGCCGCCAACCCGCGCUAUGUAAAGCCCCUUCGACGAGUCGAGUUGUUUGGGAAUGCAGCUCUAAAUGGGAGGUAAAUUUCUUCUAAAGCUAAAUAUUGGCCAGAGACCGAUAGCGCACAAGUAGAGUGAUCGAAAGAUGAAAAGCACUUUGGAAAGAGAGUCAAAAAGCACGUGAAAUUGUUGAAAGGGAAGCGCUUGCAGCCAGACUUGCCUGUAGUUGCUCAUCCGGGCUCUUGCCCGGUGCACUCUUCUAUGGGCAGGCCAGCAUCAGUCUUGGCGGUCGGAUAAAUGCGUGCUAAACGUACCUCUCUUCGGGGAGGACUUAUAGGGCACGCGGCAUACGACCAGCCGGGACUGAGGUCCGCGCAUCUGCUAGGAUGCUGGCGUAAUGGCUGUAAGCGGCCCGUCUUGAAACACGGACCAAGGAGUCUAACAUCUAUGCGAGUGUUUGGGUGUCAAGCCCGAGCGCGUAAUGAAAGUGAACGGAGGUGGGAACCCCUCGGGGUGCACCAUCGACCGAUCCUGAUGUCUUCGGAUGGAUUUGAGUAAGAGCAUAGCUGUUGGGACCCGAAAGAUGGUGAACUAUGCCUGAAUAGGGUGAAGCCAGAGGAAACUCUGGUGGAGGCUCGCAGCGGUUCUGACGUGCAAAUCGAUCGUUCAAAUUUGGGCAAUAGGGGCGAAAAGACUAAUCGAACUAUCUAGUAGCUGGUUCCUGCCGA